GCAAGGUAAAUGAAUUAAAAUGCAUAUUAGUACAAAACAAGGACAGAGUAAAAGGAAAUUCCAAAACUUUAUUGAACAGAGGUGUUAAACAGAGCCACGAGCACAUUGCUCCCUCCAUCAAAUGAAACAAUUAGAACAACUUUCCAAGCAUCACUAUAACCAUCAAAACGAAGAAUUCAAAGGUUCGCUCCCUAACUAAACUAAUUAUUUAAAAAUUCCUGAACAAUCAUGGAAAUCAUAACUGUUUAAUAAUGAAAUGCAGACUAUUUUCUUACUGCGCAUCGCCAAAAUCGCUGAA
This 298-nucleotide unclassified non-coding RNA is filed under the name Hevea brasiliensis (rubber tree). Lineage: Eukaryota; Viridiplantae; Streptophyta; Magnoliopsida; Malpighiales; Euphorbiaceae. The record is from RNAcentral.